RNAcentral lists this long non-coding RNA (875 nucleotides) under Homo sapiens (human). RNAcentral describes it as "non-protein coding lnc-ROPN1B-16:3". Lineage: Eukaryota; Metazoa; Chordata; Mammalia; Primates; Hominidae. The record is from RNAcentral.
GGCGCAGAGACCUGGCUGGAAAGACACAGCGUGGCUUCGAUUCCGGCGCCUGCGUGUCACCAGCCCAGGGUGGCCGUGGAAGCUGGACCCGAGCCGCAGGCCCCCCAGGCUGGGCCUGGGAGGAAAGCGGUUUGAAAAAGAUCGGAACUGAGGAACUCUCUUAGAGCGGGGGACUCCCUGCUCCUACAGCCUUAACCAAUGCCCAGCGCUUGGAAAGUGGAGGACUCGGGGAUUCGGGAGCGUUUCAGGCCUGGGGAAAUGGAAGGGUCGGGGACCUAGGUGAAAGGUUAUUUGCCAGAAAUGUCUUGGCUUUUUCAUUUAUUCUGUCUUACCUAGCCCUUCGCCGCCACCUCCAGUCGUUGGCCUCUUACCACCUUCAAAUGCCACCUUUUCCGGAAGAUGUAGCCCUGCGCCCUUGAAACUGGCAAACCCUAUUAGUGUCUGCAAGCUGAGAUGCAGGGUGUGGGCAUAGACACAGAUCAAGAGAUCCGGCCCUGGACCCUCUUGGGCAGAACCUUGCCCUUCUCAUUUCACCUGAAGCCCAAACUUUGUAUGGCAAAGACUUGGUAAUGAUCUCUAUAGAGCUAGGAUUACACAGUUGUCUCAUCCUUUGGGGGCCCUUUAGCCAAACUGUGACCUCCUUAAUGGUGCCUUCGUCAGCUAACAUUAGGCGCCCUGAGGUGCUUCUGCAUACUGCCAUCGUUUACAAUUACUCAUCUUUGUGUACACACCCUAGCACAAGGUCAGCCAUAUAACAUAAAAGAUGCUCAGUGAAUGUUGAGUAAUUGUGAGCAUCUGGAACUUGCCGUGGGAUAAAACGCGUUCAUUGGGAUUUCUUCAUAAUAAUAUGAAGAUUCCAUUUAGCGCCUCUCUGC